RNAcentral lists this ribosomal RNA (445 nucleotides) under uncultured bacterium. RNAcentral's name for it is "partial 16S ribosomal RNA". It matches the Rfam family "Bacterial small subunit ribosomal RNA", at positions 354 to 796 of the family's 1533-position model. The record is from RNAcentral.
GUGAGGAAUAUUGGUCAAUGGGCGAGAGCCUGAACCAGCCAAGUCGCGUGAAGGAAGAAGGAUCUAUGGUUCGUAAACUUCUUUUGCAGGGGAAUAAAGUGCGGGACGUGUCCUGUUUUGUAUGUACCAUGAGAAUAAGGAUAGGCUAACUCCGUGCCAGCAGCCGCGGUAAUACGGAGUAUCCGAGCGUUAUCCGGAUUUAUUGGGUUUAACGGUCACGUAGGUGGUUUGAUAAGUCAGCGGUGAACGUUCGCAGCUUAACUGUAAAAAUGCCGUUGAAACUGUCGGACUUGAGUGUAAAUGAGGUAAGCGGAAUGCGUGGUGUAGCGGUGAAAUGCAUAGAUAUCACGCAGAACUCCGAUUGCGAAGGCAGCUUACUAAGCUACAACUGACACUGAAGCACGAAAGCGUGGGGAUCAAACAGGAUUAGAAACCCCUGUAGUCC